This 72-nucleotide transfer RNA is filed under the name Halobacteriovorax sp. RNAcentral's name for it is "tRNA-Glu". It matches the Rfam family "tRNA". Rfam says of the family: Transfer RNA (tRNA) molecules are approximately 80 nucleotides in length. Their secondary structure includes four short double-helical elements and three loops (D, anti-codon, and T loops). The record is from RNAcentral. Lineage: Bacteria; Pseudomonadati; Bdellovibrionota; Bacteriovoracia; Bacteriovoracales; Halobacteriovoraceae.
GCUCUCUUCGUCUAGGGGUUAGGACACUGCUUUUUCAAUGCAACAACAUGGGUUCGAAUCCCAUAGAGGGUA